Molecule: long non-coding RNA, 762 nt
Organism: Leptidea sinapis
Lineage: Eukaryota; Metazoa; Arthropoda; Insecta; Lepidoptera; Pieridae
Exons: 2
Source: RefSeq, a predicted model, not a curated record
AGGUUACUCCGCGAGAGAUGUGACAAAAUCCUAACGACUGAUAUAAAUAGCUUAAAAUCAGAAGCCAAAAAUUUAAUCAAGAAGGAUCCUAAAUACUUUUGGUCUUUCAUAAAAUCUCUACGAUCAAAUAGCAGCGAUAUACCGGAUGAAAUGACUUACUUAGAUCAAAGCGUUCAAGGUGGCCAGCAGAUUGCCAAUUUUUUUUUCAGAAUACUUUCACUCAACCUAUCAGCAUGACCCAAACCCAAGAACUAAACACAAUGAAAUCGUCGAAUGCCACAUGUCACUUAGUUUAUAUCGUUUCACAGACUCAGAUGUCAUAUCAACGCUCAAAAGCCUAGAUGCAAAUAAAGGUCCUGGUCCAGAUUCUAUACCUCCUAGUUUCUUAAACACAAAAUUGGCUGAGGCUCUACGAAUCAUUUUCAAUAAGUCUUUACUAUGUGGAACUUUUCCCUCAAGAUGGAAGGUUGCGCACAUCAGUCCAAUUCACAAGAAGGGAGAUCCUGGAGAUAUUACUAACUACCGGCCCAUCUCAAUUUUGUCUGCUAUCGGUAAAGCUACUGCUGCACCCAUUGAGGGAGCUCCCCUGGUCGCCGGGAGGGGAGCUGCGCGGCGCACUAGUGGAGGGCGUGGGGGAGUGCUGCUUGAAGUUCCGCAUCAGAGGCUUGUGGUUGUCUGAGGAGUGCUGCCACGACCAGCACGAGCGGCAGAAGUAUCUGGACAAGAUAGACCAUGGAACUAAUGAAAAUAUCUUACAAUGCA